RNAcentral lists this ribosomal RNA (540 nucleotides) under uncultured soil bacterium. RNAcentral describes it as "bacterial SSU rRNA". It matches the Rfam family "Bacterial small subunit ribosomal RNA", at positions 39 to 570 of the family's 1533-position model. The record is from RNAcentral.
GCGGCAGGCUUAAUACAUGCAAGUCGUGGGGCAGCAGGUUUGUAGCAAUACAGAUGCUGGCGACCGGCAAACGGGUGCGGAACACGUACACAACCUUCCUUUAAGUGGGGAAUAGCCCAGAGAAAUUUGGAUUAAUACCCCGUAACAUUAUGAUGUGGCAUCACAUUAUAAUUAUAGCUCCGGCGCUUAACGAUGGGUGUGCGGCUGAUUAGGUAGUUGGCGGGGUAACGGCCCACCAAGCCUGCGAUCAGUAACUGGUGUGAGAGCACGACCAGUCACACGGGCACUGAGACACGGGCCCGACUCCUACGGGAGGCAGCAGUAAGGAAUAUUGGGCAAUGGAGGCAACUCUGACCCAGCCAUGCCGCGUGGAGGAUGAAGGUCCUCUGGAUUGUAAACUUCUUUUAUAUGGGACGAAAAAGGGCCUUUCCAGGUCAACUGACGGUACCAUAUGAAUAAGCACCGGCUAACUCCGUGCCAGCAGCCGCGGUAAUACGGAGGGUGCAAGCGUUAUCCGGAUUCACUGGGUUUAAAGGGUGC